UACAAUUUUCAAGCUUUAACUUACUAGUUUUAUCCUUACAAACACACACAUUUAUAUAUUUUAAAGUAUUCAUACAACUAUAAAAGAAUUGACUUGCACUGAAUCAUGGGCUGAUCUGUAGGACUUUAAGUCACUAAAUAACUGAUACAUAUCUUUGGUAUUAAAUAAAUAAUUUGAGGUAAGUAAAAAAUUAUAAACAUAAUUGUCAUUUUGAAUGACUUAAAUUGAUUAAAAUUACAAUUCACUAACUUAAUAUAGUUUACACCAAAAUAGUUGUUGCUCAAAUGAUUAAUGAUAUAAUAAGUCUCCUCUACCAUGGGUAAUAUCCCAGCCUCCCUCAUGAGUCCUGGUAUUAGGCGAAAGGCCUCAUUGACACUGGAUAUAACUGAUAUAAUAAGUCUCCUCGACCAACUCUACCAUGUGGGUAAUAUCCCAGCCUCCCUCAUGAGUCCUGGUAUUAGGCGAAAGGCCUCAUUGACACUGGAUAAAACUGAUAUAAUAAGUCUCCUCGACCAACUCUACCAUGUGGGUAAUAUCCCAGCCUCCCUCAUGAGUCCUGGUAUUAGGCGAAAGGCCUCAUUGACACUGGAUAUAACUGAUAUAAUAAGUUUAACAUUAUAUUCUUUCACUCGUAAGAAUUAAAGCUUUUGUAUUAGAGAAUGUUGGUACAGGGACUCCAACUUGGACAUUUACCCUAGGGGUUAUCAGUAACAAACCUCCCCAGACAGAUGCAGAGAAUGUAGGUACAGGGAAAGAAAUCUCAAUAACAUUUCAAUGAUUGAGACUUGAGUGGUCAGUAGCAGAAUGUGGAACCUAGAAAGUUUAAGAAAGCACAGUUAAAAGGUCACCACUCCUAUGAUUUUCUUGAACUGCAAAAUAACUACAGAAUGACUAACUUUCAUCCAAGUCACACAGAAAUAGACAACAUUUAAUGAAUUGAAUAAAACCAAAUUCCUAAGCUCAGUGGCCUGUAUUAUCCAUUUUGUUUAUCAAUAGUAGGUUUUUUGGGAAACAAGUCGGGAUCAUAUUGCAAAUGUUAUAUUUUAACACUUUUAAUAUGAAUGCAAUAGUUUAAAAACUUUACUACGGAGGCCAAAGAUAGUACAUCUCAACUUAGUUUCUAAUUCACCUGAGAAUCAUCACCGAGUUAUACUGAAGAAAAUGUGCUGAAAUAAGUUGAAAGUAAAUUCAGUUUUAUAGUUCAUGGACAAAAUGAACGUAAAUUCAGUUUUAUAGUUCAUGAACAAAAUGAAAGUAAAUUCAGUUUUAUAGUUCAUGAACAAAAUGAAAGUAAAUUCAGUUUUAUAGUUCAUGAACAAAAUGAAAGUAAAUUCAGUUUUAUAGUUCAUGAACAAAAUGAACGUAAGGUCAUGUUGCUGUAUUUGAGCUGAUGCAGAAUUUUGGGUUUUUUAACAGUUGCUGAAAUGUGUACAAGUUAUAAUAAUAUAUAUAUAUAUGUGGUGAAGUUGUACGAUAACAAGCCAGACCGAUGAGCCAUAAUCAAAACCCUCUACAGUUCACUUUGCUGCUGCCAAUGAGGCUUUUUGCCAAUACCAGAACUUGUCAAGUUGGCUUGACCAUAAGGUAUCCGUUGAAACUUCUUGUAUAACUAGUGUGUGAGAUAAUUUAUUUUUGGUUUCAUUCUAAUAUUUUUUUGAUUGCAUAGUUUCCUUUCACUCCCAGCUGCAGCUGUUGGAUGUAAGCCAUAAAUAAGACACGUUAUUCUGUCUUUAUCUCCUUUACUCUAUUGCCAGUUAGUGGUACUACUAACACAGAAAUCCUCAAAUGAUGAGAAACAACAGUGAUAUAUUACACCUCCAAAUUAAACUAAAAGUAAUUGUUUCUGUAUGUUGAUAAAACAAGCAUGCUAUAGGAUACGAUAUAGCCCAUAACAUACAUGAAGAGAUCGAUCAUUAAGAAAGAUACUGCUACGUAAAGAGUAAUUAUUGUUUUCUUAAACAACUGUUGCGAUACAAGUGGUAUAACAAACUUUGUUGUAUAUUAAUCUAAAAUAGAUUUUAUUUUAAGAAGUUUCCAUUCUAAGUGUAUUACUUUUUUGUAUUUGAGCUUGUAAUUAAAUCAGUUUAAAGACAAAAAUUCCAUAAAAAUACAAGUUUCUGAUAAAUAAAUAAAUAUACAUCUACAUUCCUUAUUUUACUAUUCGCAAAGAUAAAACAAUCUGAAAUAAUUGUUGAUAAUGUUUACUCUUAAAUAUAAUCAGUUUAAUUUUUUCUAGCCUAAUUUUCUCAUAUUACAUGUGUAAUUGGAUUAAGUAGCUUUAAAAAUCCCGCUAGAAAACAGGUAUUUCUUAUUAACAAAGGAAAGAACAAAAUGUUAUAAUUAAAAACUGUAGUAUUACUUGAUUUGUUCUAAAGUCAUUUUAAAAUUUGAAUUCUUUGUGAAAUUUACGUCCAUUGUGUUAACUAAUUGUCAGCUUCUCAAGUGAAUGAAAUAAAUUAAACAAUUCCCAGAUUCUCUCUCAUUUUAGUGAACGUUUUUUCAAAAGAAACAAGUUUUCACUCUUGCGUUGUUUAAUUUUAGUCUUACUUUACUAAGACACCCAUUAAAACAUAAUAACUACAGAAUAACCUGCAGGUUUUAAAAGGUUAUACAUAAUAAUCACUUUUGUAUGUGUAUAAAUCUUUGUUUCUUUAGGUUUACUAAAACUUUACUUGUGCACUUUUAAUUUUAAUAACCUGAAAAUAAAUUCUGAUACCCUUGUAUAAAAAUAGCCUUACCAUUUAAGUUUUAAUCAACUUGAACUGUCUAAUAAACUCUUGGAACACCAGUGACCUUUAAAACAUUUUGGGAGAAUAAUACCAACAUGUAUAGUUUCAGAUUUUUUUGUCAUGGGCGACACUAUAAUAUCAGAUUUAUUAUACAACAAGAAUCGAAAACAUACCACUGAUCAAAAAAUAAAA
RNAcentral lists this long non-coding RNA (2921 nucleotides) under Limulus polyphemus (Atlantic horseshoe crab). RNAcentral's name for it is "uncharacterized LOC111089594". Lineage: Eukaryota; Metazoa; Arthropoda; Merostomata; Xiphosura; Limulidae. The record is from RNAcentral.